This 495-nucleotide ribosomal RNA is filed under the name uncultured bacterium. RNAcentral describes it as "partial 16S ribosomal RNA". It matches the Rfam family "Bacterial small subunit ribosomal RNA", at positions 28 to 507 of the family's 1533-position model. The record is from RNAcentral.
GACGAACGCUGGCGGCGUGCCUAAUACAUGCAAGUAGAACGCUGAAGGAGGAGCUUGCUCUUCUGGAUGAGUUGCGAACGGGUGAGUAACGCGUAGGUAACCUGCCUGGUAGCGGGGGAUAACUAUUGGAAACGAUAGCUAAUACCGCAUAACAGUAGAUGUUGCAUGACUUUUACUUAAAAGGUGCAAUUGCAUCACUACCAGAUGGACCUGCGUUGUAUUAGCUAGUUGGUGGGGUAACGGCUCACCAAGGCGACGAUACAUAGCCGACCUGAGAGGGUGAUCGGCCACACUGGGACUGAGACACGGCCCAGACUCCUACGGGAGGCAGCAGUAGGGAAUCUUCGGCAAUGGACGGAAGUCUGACCGAGCAACGCCGCGGGAGUGAAGAAGGGUUUCGGAUCGUAAAGCUCUGUUGUAAGAGAAGAACGAGUGUGAGAGUGGAAAGUUCACACUGUGACGGUAUCUUACCAGAAAGGGACGGCUAACUACGUG